This 232-nucleotide small RNA is filed under the name Arabidopsis thaliana (thale cress). RNAcentral describes it as "ATSL169480". The record is from RNAcentral. Lineage: Eukaryota; Viridiplantae; Streptophyta; Magnoliopsida; Brassicales; Brassicaceae.
AGUAAAACUAAUUGAGGAAAAAUUAAAAGUCUUUUGUUGUGUUAAAUUCUCUAUUAAUCUCACUCUUAAAAUUAAUUUUCUAAAAACAUUCAAUAAAUAAAAAAAUCAUAAUAAUGUAUCAAAUACUACUUUUAUUCUAUUUUACUUAUUUUUAUAUUUUUUUAUCAAUAGUUAUUAAUCCAUAAUGGCUAAAAAUUUACGUGUAUUGUAUUUUAGAUAAUUGCUAUCUAAC